GAGUGGCGAACGGGUGAGUAAUAUAUCGGAACGUGCCCAGUCGUGGGGGAUAACUGCUCGAAAGAGCAGCUAAUACCGCAUACGACCUGAGGGUGAAAGCGGGGGAUCGCAAGACCUCGCGCGAUUGGAGCGGCCGAUAUCAGAUUAGCUAGUUGGCGGGGUAAAAGCCCACCAAGGCAACGAUCUGUAGCUGGUCUGAGAGGACGACCAGCCACACUGGGACUGAGACACGGCCCAGACUCCUACGGGAGGCAGCAGUGGGGAAUUUUGGACAAUGGACGCAAGUCUGAUCCAGCCAUGCCGCGUGCGGGAAGAAGGCCUUCGGGUUGUAAACCGCUUUUGUCAGGGAAGAAAAGGUUCUGGAUAAUACCCGGGACUCAUGACGGUACCUGAAGAAUAAGCACCGGCUAACUACGUGCCAGCAGCCGCGGUAAUACGUAGGGUGCAAGCGUUAAUCGGAAUUACUGGGCGUAAAGCGUGCGCAGGCGGUUAUGCAAGACAGAUGUGAAAUCCCCGGGCUCAACCUGGGAACUGCAUUUGUGACUGCAUAGCUAGAGUACGGUAGAGGGGGAUGGAAUUCCGCGUGUAGCAGUGAAAUGCGUAGAUAUGCGGAGGAACACCGAUGGCGAAGGCAAUCCCCUGGACCUGUA
Molecule: ribosomal RNA, 650 nt
Filed under: uncultured bacterium
Lineage: Bacteria
Description: bacterial SSU rRNA
Rfam family: Bacterial small subunit ribosomal RNA
Source: RNAcentral